AUACGGAGGGUGCGAGCGUUAAUCGGAAUUACUGGGCGUAAAGCGUGCGUAGGCGGUUUGUUAAGUCAGAAGUGAAAGCCCUGGGCUCAACCUGGGAACGGCUUUUGAGACUGGCAGACUCGAGUUGAGUAGAGGGGAGUGGAAUUUCCGGUGUAGCGGUGAAAUGCGUAGAGAUCGGAAGGAACACCAGUGGCGAGGGCGACUCCCUGGACUCAAACUGACGCUGAGGUACGAAAGCGUGGGUAGCAAACAGGAUUAGAUACCCUUGUAGUCC
RNAcentral lists this ribosomal RNA (274 nucleotides) under uncultured bacterium. RNAcentral describes it as "partial 16S ribosomal RNA". It matches the Rfam family "Bacterial small subunit ribosomal RNA", at positions 523 to 796 of the family's 1533-position model. The record is from RNAcentral.